Molecule: long non-coding RNA, 679 nt
Filed under: Brassica napus (rape)
Lineage: Eukaryota; Viridiplantae; Streptophyta; Magnoliopsida; Brassicales; Brassicaceae
Description: long non-coding RNA (BNAP_LNC012471)
Source: RNAcentral
CAGAGAGAUAUGGGCUAGCGACGCAUAUGAGUACGGGGGCCAGUGAAAUCUGAGCUAGCGACGUAUAGAGUGCGGGGGCACAGAGACAUAUGAGCUAGCGACUCAUAUUGGAUGAGUACGGGGGCCAUAGACGUCUGAGCUAGCGAUGUAUAUUGUGUGGUGCGGGGUGCAGAGACGUUUGCAUAUCGACGCAUAGUGGUGGAGUGCGGGGGUCCAGAGAUUUCUGGACUAGCGACGCAUAUUAUAAUAUCGUAUAUCCUUAUGAAGAGAAUGCGGGGUGUGUGGAGUAGCUAUGUACCGUCAGCGCAUUGUUUUUUUGUGUGAUGCGCUAGGCAUCAUGUUUGUUCAUGUUAGAGCUAAACUUCCAUAGUGGGAGUUCUAUUACUGAGUCAGUGGUUUGCGUGUUUAGCAUCCCAUACCUCACUGAGUGACUCUUAUGUCGCUCAUCCCUCUUUCUUCCCCUUGAAGGUGACCUUGCCGAGUAAUUGGAUAUCUGGACGGUUUGGUGUCUUUGGGAUGAUCGUAUUUUAUUUUGGAUUUAUUCGACAUUUCGAUCCGUAAUAUUUCAGUUACUAAAUUAUCUCACUUUUAUUUUAUUAAAUAUUUUGAUAUUUUACUCGGUUUUGAAUAACUCUGUCUGAUUCGGUAUUUUUUUGGUUGGUAGCACGCCGUGCUCGAG